This is a non-coding RNA of Rattus norvegicus (Norway rat), 748 nucleotides long. NCBI's taxonomy places the organism in Eukaryota, Metazoa, Chordata, Mammalia, Rodentia, Muridae. The record is from RefSeq and is a predicted model, not a curated record.
CCAGGAAGAUCUGCGCCACCAUUUCCGGGAGCCUCAGUGCACCAGGGCUCCAGAUGGCGUUUGGUGUUUUCCUCUGGCGUCAGAGAUGUGUGCAGAGUGCAGUCUCUUCUGAUUUCCCAGGCGUGUCUGCCUCUCUGAAGGUUUAGCUCUCCCUCCCACGGGAUUUGGGUGCAGAGAACUGUUUAUCCGGUCUGUCCUAAAUUCUUUUGUUUUAUUGAUGAAAAAUGUCCCUGGUUAAUUUUAAGCAGUGUGGGGCUGAGGGUGACAAGUGUGCAGGCCUGCUAACAAGCAAGCUGCAGGCUGUGCGUGGGCAACAGCACAGCUCAGGCCAAGUCAGCAUAAGAAGAGUUUCAAGGAUGCUACAGAAGUGUGCCAGCUGCCUGCGUGUCUGGUGAGACAUGCUGAUCCUGGGAGCAUGAAGAUUCAGCUCUCCUGGUUCGGGACCGUGGAGUCAUUCCUGUGCCCUUGAAAGAAGAUGGAGACUUUUUAGGAUUUACCCUCACCGAGCACAGGAAGAUAACAUUCAAGGGAUGCCUCAGCUUGAGCAGAUACCAGUUAUCUCCUGAGUCAACACCCGGUGUCUCCACCGCAUGACCUCAUCGUCUACCGCCUGACCUCUUUGCCUCCUGCUAUCACUGACUAUAUCCUCAUCCCUCCAUCCUUUGUGUUUCACAAAGGACACUCCCCCUACCUGAAAGCCUUAAAAGCUGGAACGUUCACCCCAAUAAAUGAGACCUUGACAAUAGAA